Molecule: long non-coding RNA, 2818 nt
Organism: Cavia porcellus (domestic guinea pig)
Lineage: Eukaryota; Metazoa; Chordata; Mammalia; Rodentia; Caviidae
Exons: 7
Source: RefSeq, a predicted model, not a curated record
UGAAGGGCCUCUCUCGUCGCUGUCUUAAGAGCGGGAAGUCUGAGGAGAGAGAGAGAGAGCAACUGCGCAGCUAGGCGAGGCGGUGCUGGCUAAGAGCAGGAGCUCAGUGGGGAACCGGUGGUGACUAUUGGUUCAGGGAGUAAGAACUACCGAUCUGUGAUAAGAGCACGUAUGGAGGAGAUGCACCAGAUGGCAAAUUUUGUCGUGUGUUCUUCCUGCCGGCCGGGAGCGACACCGACAGCUGGUGGCCCGUACGGGGAAUGAUCAACCCCGAGAUUCGGCGGUGGACUGCAUUCUCCUACACAGAGCUACAGGACAGGGACCGGGACGAGAACCACUGUGGGUCCCAGAGAGGUUGACAAGUCCCUCGACUGAAGAUCAGGCCUGUUCCACCAGAGGCCAACCGCAGACCCAACAACAAGAUGAGCCCUAAAAGAACUGCAGGACAAUCCCUUUUUGGGGGCCUGGAACGGCUUGCUCCCCUAUGUGCUACCCUUGUAUACGCAUGGCUCGCUCGCAUGGCCUACGACCGCGUUUAAAAGUGACAGGCUUCCCACAUUCUCCUCCCUAGACAACAACAUGUAGCAGGGUGGGUGAGUCAAUGACGGGUAAGAGCGUGCCUCCCCAGCACGACUCAACCUAAGCCAGGCCCUACCCCAUACUGCACGAAAGCCGCUGGAUUACUAGAAUCUGCCCAGAUCUAGAUGUCUCUCUGAGGGGAUCGCACGGAGGGGCAGGAGUGCAUGCCUAUGUGCAUCCAGGUUCCGUCCAGUUCACUCCUGGCCCUGAAAAAAGGACGAGGGUCUCAAGGCCUUGGCGGACCCAGGGACGGCUGACCAGGGUCCAAGCCAAGGGCCUACAGUGGGCCUCAACACAGGGCAUAGGCCUCUGCACUCUAUCCAGGACGGGCUGCGAUGCGCGUAUUCAUUUAAAAUAAAAUAGGGGGAGAUGUUGGGAGCCGUGGCACUGUCAAGUCAUCAGACGCGGUGAUUGCGAGGCCUGUAGGAAAGUACAAAAGCCUGAGCUAGAUUACCCCUCUCAUCGAGCCCGCCUGUGUGGCGCCUGUUUCCUGCUUCCUGAUCACCCCACUAAGUUCCCGCCUCGCAGGGUAGUCUGCCUAGCUACUAAUGUUGCUAGCCAAUCAGCUUACGCGACCCGCCUUGAUUUGAUUGGAGGCCACAAUCCUAUAUAUAGCCAGUACCUCCACCCCUGGAGGGGAGAAGCACGGAAGGAGCCGCGGAGAGCAGACCGGUAGAGGCUUCGGGGAGAAGCACGGAAGGAGCCGCGGAGAGCGGACCGGUAGAGGCUUCGGAGCAAAGCACGGAAGGAGCCGCGGGGAGCGGACCAACAGAGGCUUCGGCCGGGACGAGUCCCAGGGUAGACUGUGAAGGAGGAGAGAAAUAAAAUAGAAUACUUCGCCACCGCCAGAUUUUGUCGUGUGUUCUUCCUGCCGGCCGGGAGCGACACCAACAUGCAGUGAGACCUCAAAGAAAGAAAGGAAAGAAACUAUCACAACAGAAUCAUCCGGAGAGUGGCAUGGCUGAGGGGAAAACAAACAAAAAACAUGUAGAAUGAAAAUAAUCAUUGAAAGAAUGAAAAGUACAAGCCACAGAUUCUGGUAGAUACUACAAUAAUGAGUCUGCAAGUUUCAUUGCUCACUUAAAAUGUUCUGUUUUGUCUUGCUAGUGCUGCAAAAGAUCGAGCCAAUGGCCACCAAUUCAGCAGCCAGGGAUGGAACUCAAGACAGGUUCUAAAGGAUUUCCAGAUCACAAUUCUAUAGAGAAUUCCCAGAAGAAUCAAGCAAAAGCCACUCCUCCCGAGUGAAGUUCAAACUCAAGUAUUCAAAGGGCGCUGACUUCUAAAACAUUCCAGUUCCCAGCUCCUGUGCUUCUCCUGGCAUUCUUCCUACACUUUCAGCAACCAAUGGAAGUUACAGCUUACAGUAAGUAUAGGCACACUGAAGUUGGAGGUCAGCAAGCCCAAUGGAGAAUGGAGCUGGCAAGGGACCUGCAUCGACCUGCAGCAAGUGCCGAGAAUAAAACCCUUCCACGGGAAAGAGGCACCAACGGAAUGACAUUUUGGAAUCGAGCAGGACUGGCAAUAAGGAACAACAAUGACUUUAGUCAGUUGUUCCCUUCCCAGGAAGACACACAGACGUGGGAAUGAUGAUCGUGAAGGAGAAACAAACUCGCCGGGCUCCAGCGACAGGAGGCAUGGGACACCUCUCAGAAGCAAAAACAGAACUGAGAGCCAAACACAAUGGAAUAAGUUGUACCAGAAUGGAGGAGCUGGCUGCCAUUGGUGGGCUGUGUAAUGUCUGUGGCAGUGUGCUCUGGGUGGCACUGUCAGCAAGGGCAGGUCGGAUUUUAACUCUGGGGCUGCUCAGCCACUUUACCAUAGGACUGGCCCAGCUGGUUAAUCAUGCAGGUGACAGCACAAAACACCACACUCUGGGGCAGGCAGCCACAGCCCUUCAGCUAAGGAUGCCACAUCUAUUCCUUGUUUACUGUGUUCUUGAUGCUCCGACUUUUGUGACAGCUAGCUAAUCCCUGGUGACAACUAAUGUCUCUUCACAUGCCCAAGACUCUUCAUGGUGUGCAGUGCCUCCUGUUACUGAGGACCUGUGAAUAUAGGCUUGUUUCAUAAUCUUUGUUUGCAUGUCCAUGUAUCUUACUGUGCCCAAUGAAAACAAACUACCGGUACAAAUUUAGUACAAUCAAUUAACAGCUGGAAACCUAAGUAACAGCGUGGGUAGCAAAAUAGAUUUUUAUUGGUAAAAUUAAAAUUUCACUAAGUGAAUAAAAAUUAUCAAGGUGUA